AAAUAAGUUUAGUGAUAUCAAAUAAUGAUAAAGAGUUAAGAACAAUUACCAAAGAAACAUCAACUGCGCCAGCCGAACUAGUGGAUUCAUUGCAGGAAUUCCAGAAACUUGCCAACGAUGCGCUGACAGACUUGAUACAGCAGUCUGGAGAUUCAGUUGAACCACUUACUAUAGAAGAUGUGGAGGACAGUGACUCAGAGGGUGCCGAUGCUGAGGAUGUACAUACUCCUAAAAAGAGAAGAAAAUAAAGAAUAUGCCUACUUAAGUUGAUAUUUUUUUCGCAAUAAACUGCUAAUGGUCAUAAUAUAAUUCGCCCAUAUUCAAAACCGUAACCGCUUCCGACGUCGAUGACCGCGGCUCCACGGCGGAUGAUGUCCAGCGCCCCCCGCGCCCCCCGCCUGCCCCCGUCCUAUUGUAACAGACUUACCAGGCGAGCAGGCGACAUUAGGAUCACCGACUAGCGGCGGCACACAGGCGCACUGGGCGCGGUGCCCACCGGCGCGGCACUCGGCGCCCACCCCGCAGGCGCCCGCGGCGCACGCGGCCACGCAGCGCCCACUCGCGCAGCGCUCGUCGUCGCCGCAUGAGCUGUCGUCCGAGCAUUCGCCUCCUGUGGUGGGGAGUGAGGUUUGGUGUACCCGGGGUUGCAGCGGCACCAGGCGGCGUGGUUGUCCACUUCACAGAACGCGUUGGGCCCGCAAGCCACGCUCGAGCAGGGUGAUAAACAAGUCCGGUUCAAGCAGGCGUGCGUGUUCGGGCACUCGUAAUCAUUGCUGCAAAGCUGUUUCUGAGACGGCCCUUCCUCAAUUGUGCCUGUAAAUUAAUGUCAAUAUUUAAUUUGCGAAUACAUGUUUCCAUUUAACAGUUCG
Molecule: long non-coding RNA, 869 nt
Organism: Plutella xylostella (diamondback moth)
Lineage: Eukaryota; Metazoa; Arthropoda; Insecta; Lepidoptera; Plutellidae
Source: RefSeq, a predicted model, not a curated record